Molecule: ribosomal RNA, 240 nt
Filed under: uncultured Lactobacillus sp.
Lineage: Bacteria; Bacillati; Bacillota; Bacilli; Lactobacillales; Lactobacillaceae
Description: partial 16S ribosomal RNA
Rfam family: Bacterial small subunit ribosomal RNA
Source: RNAcentral
UAACCUGCCCAAGAGAUCGGGAUAACACCUGGAAACAGAUGCUAAUACCGGAUAACAACAGAUGAUGCCUAUCAACUGUUUAAAAGAUGGUUCUGCUAUCACUCUUGGAUGGACCUGCGGUGCAUUAGCUAGUUUGUAGGGUAACGGCCUACCAAGGCGAUGAUGCAUAGCCGAGUUGAGAGACUGAUCGGCCACAUUGGGACUGAGACACGGCCCAAACUCCUACGGGAGGCAGCAGCC